GCGGGUGUAGUUCAAUGGCAGAACGCUAGCUUCCCAAGCUCGAUACGCGGGUUCGAUUCCCGUCACCCGCUCCA
Molecule: transfer RNA, 74 nt
Filed under: Methylophilaceae bacterium
Lineage: Bacteria; Pseudomonadati; Pseudomonadota; Betaproteobacteria; Nitrosomonadales; Methylophilaceae
Also listed under: 3 other names
Description: tRNA-Gly
Rfam family: tRNA
About the family: Transfer RNA (tRNA) molecules are approximately 80 nucleotides in length. Their secondary structure includes four short double-helical elements and three loops (D, anti-codon, and T loops).
Source: RNAcentral